Molecule: ribosomal RNA, 484 nt
Filed under: uncultured bacterium
Lineage: Bacteria
Description: bacterial SSU rRNA
Rfam family: Bacterial small subunit ribosomal RNA
Source: RNAcentral
AUUGAACGCUGGCGGCAUGCCUUACACAUGCAAGUCGAACGGCAGCACGGGAGCAAUCCUGGUGGCGAGUGGCGAACGGGUGAGUAAUAUAUCGGAACGUGCCCAGUCGUGGGGGAUAACGUAGCGAAAGCUACGCUAAUACCGCAUACGAUCUAUGGAUGAAAGCGGGGGAUCGCAAGACCUCGCGCGAUUGGAGCGGCCGAUAUCAGAUUAGGUAGUUGGUGAGGUAAAGGCUCACCAAGCCGACGAUCUGUAGCUGGUCUGAGAGGACGACCAGCCACACUGGGACUGAGACACGGCCCAGACUCCUACGGGAGGCAGCAGUGGGGAAUUUUGGACAAUGGGCGCAAGCCUGAUCCAGCAAUGCCGCGUGCAGGAUGAAGGCCUUCGGGUUGUAAACUGCUUUUGUACGGAGCGAAAAGGCUCCCUCUAAUACAGGGGGCUCAUGACGGUACCGUAAGAAUAAGCACCGGCUAACUACGUG